This 878-nucleotide ribosomal RNA is filed under the name Desulfomicrobium orale. RNAcentral's name for it is "bacterial SSU rRNA". It matches the Rfam family "Bacterial small subunit ribosomal RNA", at positions 54 to 916 of the family's 1533-position model. The record is from RNAcentral. Lineage: Bacteria; Pseudomonadati; Thermodesulfobacteriota; Desulfovibrionia; Desulfovibrionales; Desulfomicrobiaceae.
CAUGCAAGUCGAACGAGAAAGUUCCUUCGGGAAUGAGUAGAGUGGCGCACGGGUGAGUAACGCGUGGGUAAUCUGCCCUUGGAUUUGGGAUAACUUCGCGAAAGUGGAGCUAAUACCGGAUAGUCUGGCUUUGUAAAAGGAGUCGGUAAAGGAUGCCUCUGCAUAUGCAUUCGUCCGAGGAUGAGCCCGCGUCUCAUUAGCUAGUUGGUAGGGUAACGGCCUACCAAGGCGACGAUGAGUAGCUGGUCUGAGAGGAUGAUCAGCCACACUGGGACUGAAACACGGCCCAGACUCCURCGGGAGGCAGCAGUGGGGAAUAUUGCGCAAUGGGCGAAAGCCUGACGCAGCAACGCCGUGUGAGGGAUGAAGGUUUUCGGAUCGUAAACCUCUGUCAGAAGGGAAGAAGUGGUGCGGGUCCAACAGGCCCGUAUCUUGACGGUACCUUCAAAGGAAGCACCGGCUAACUCCGUGCCAGCAGCCGCGGUAAUACGGAGGGUGCAAGCGUUAUUCGGAAUUACUGGGCGUAAAGCGCACGUAGGCGGCCUUGUAAGUCAGGUGUGAAAUCCCACGGCUCAACCGUGGAACUGCACUUGAAACUGCGGGGCUCGAAUCCUGGAGAGGGCGGCGGAAUUCCUGGUGUAGGAGUGAAAUCCGUAGAUAUCAGGAGGAACACCGGUGGCGAAGGCGGCCGCCUGGACAGGUAUUGACGCUGAGGUGCAAAAGUGUGGGGAGCAAACAGGAUUAGAUACCCUGGUAGUCCACACCGUAAACGAUGGAUACUAGGUGUCGGGGACUUGAUCCUCGGUGCCGCAGUUAACGCGUUAAGUAUCCCGCCUGGGGAGUACGGUCGCAAGGCUGAAACUCAAAGAAAUUGACGG